AUUGAACGCUGGCGGCAGGCCUAACACAUGCAAGUCGAACGAGUGGCGGACGGGUGAGUAAUGUCUGGGAAACUGCCUGAUGGAGGGGGAUAACUACUGGAAACGGUAGCUAAUACCGCAUACCAUCGGAUGUGCCCAGAUGGGAUUAGCUAGUAGGUGGGGUAACGGCUCACCUAGGCGACGAUCCCUAGCUGGUCUGAGAGGAUGACCAACCAAAACGGAACGGAGACCAGGUCCAGAAUCCUAAGGGAGGGAAGCGUUGGGAAUAUUUCAACAUGGGUGCAAGCCUGGUGGCGCCAUGCCGGGUGGAAGAAGAAGGCCCUUGGGUUUUUAAGUAAUUUUAGGGGGGAGGCGUUACCCGCAGAAGAAGCACCGGCUAACUCCGUGCCAGCAGCCGCGGUAAUAC
This 406-nucleotide ribosomal RNA is filed under the name uncultured bacterium. RNAcentral's name for it is "partial 16S ribosomal RNA". It matches the Rfam family "Bacterial small subunit ribosomal RNA", at positions 30 to 526 of the family's 1533-position model. The record is from RNAcentral.